CCUCGUCGACCUGCUGCGGGCAGAUGAAGUGGAUGUGAGUAUCGAUUCCGCCCGCGGUGACGAUCUUGCCCUCGCCGGCGAUCACGUCGGUGCAGCUGCCCACGACCAUGCCGGGCGUCACACCGCUCAUGACGUCCGGGUUCCCAGCCUUGCCGAUGCCUACGAUGUAGCCGUCCUUGAUGCCGAUAUCCGCCUUGAAGAUGCCUGUCCAGUCGACGAUGAGCGCGUUGGUCACGACCAGGUCGAGCGACUCAGCACUGGUUCGGCCGGAUGCGGAGCCCAUGCCGUCGCGCAG
This 295-nucleotide small RNA is filed under the name Thermothelomyces thermophilus ATCC 42464. RNAcentral's name for it is "Myceliophthora thermophila ATCC 42464 5' ureB small RNA". It matches the Rfam family "5' ureB small RNA". The record is from Rfam by way of RNAcentral. Lineage: Eukaryota; Fungi; Ascomycota; Sordariomycetes; Sordariales; Chaetomiaceae.